UACGGAGGGUGCAAGCGUUAAUCGGAAUUACUGGGCGUAAAGCGCACGCAGGUGGCUGAGUCAGUCGAUUGUGAAAGCCCUGGGCUUAACCUGGGAAUUGCAGUCGAUACUACUCAGCUAGAGUAUGGGAGAGGGCAGUGGAAUUCCCGGUGUAGCGGUGAAAUGCGUAGAUAUUGGGAAGAACACCGGUGGCGAAGGCGGCUCACUGGCUCGUAACUGACGCUCAUGCACGACAGCGUGGGGAUCAAACAGG
This 253-nucleotide ribosomal RNA is filed under the name uncultured bacterium. RNAcentral describes it as "partial 16S ribosomal RNA". It matches the Rfam family "Bacterial small subunit ribosomal RNA", at positions 524 to 776 of the family's 1533-position model. The record is from RNAcentral.